AGAGUUUGAUCCUGGCUCAGGAUGAACGCUGGCGGCGUGCUUAACACAUGCAAGUCGAACGAACCCUCGGGUUAGUGGCGGACGGGUGAGUAACGCGUGAGAAUCUGCCCUCAGGAGGGGGAUAACGGUUGGAAACGACCGCUAAUACCCCAUAUGCCUAUUGGUGAAAUGAAUUUCGCCUGAGGAUGAGCUCGCGUCUGAUUAGCUAGUUGGUGAGGUAAUGGCUCACCAAGGCUUCGAUCAGUAGCUGGUCUGAGAGGAUGAUCAGCCACACUGGGACUGAGACACGGCCCAGACUCCUACGGGAGGCAGCAGUGGGGAAUUUUCCGCAAUGGGCGAAAGCCUGACGGAGCAACGCCGCGUGAGGGACGAAGGCCUCUGGGCUGUAAACCUCUUUUCUCAAGGAAGAAGAUAUGACGGUACUUGAGGAAUAAGCCACGGCUAAUUCCGUGCCAGCAGCCGCGGUAAUACGGGAGUGGCAAGCGUUAUCCGGAAUUAUUGGGCGUAAAGCGUCCGCAGGCGGCUUUUCAAGUCUGCUGUUAAAGCGUGGAGCUUAACUCCAUCAUGGCAGUGGAAACUGAAAGGCUUGAGUAUGGUAGGGGCAGAGGGAAUUCCCGGUGUAGCGGUGAAAUGCGUAGAUAUCGGGAAGAACACCAGUGGCGAAGGCGCUCUGCUGGGCCAUUACUGACGCUCAUGGACGAAAGCCAGGGGAGCGAAAGGGAUUAGAUACCCCUGUAGUCCUGGCCGUAAACGAUGAACACUAGGUGUCGGGGGAAUCGACCCCUUCGGUGUCGUAGCUAACGCGUUAAGUGUUCCGCCUGGGGAGUACGCACGCAAGUGUGAAACUCAAAGGAAUUGACGGGGCCCGCACAGCGGUGGAGUAUGUGGUUUAAUUCGAUGCACG
RNAcentral lists this ribosomal RNA (904 nucleotides) under marine metagenome. RNAcentral's name for it is "bacterial SSU rRNA". It matches the Rfam family "Bacterial small subunit ribosomal RNA", at positions 8 to 960 of the family's 1533-position model. The record is from RNAcentral.